RNAcentral lists this long non-coding RNA (808 nucleotides) under Glycine max (soybean). RNAcentral describes it as "long non-coding RNA (GMAX_LNC001966)". Lineage: Eukaryota; Viridiplantae; Streptophyta; Magnoliopsida; Fabales; Fabaceae. The record is from RNAcentral.
GCUUCCUUAAGCUCCUCAUUAGUGCUGCUCCUUGCAGCUCUAAUUCUAUCCCCUCAAGUUCUUGCUGACUAUGAGAAGCCCCCAAUUUACAAGCCACCUGUUUACACACCGCCAGUUUAUAAGCCCCCAGUUGAAAAACCACCAGUGUACAAACCUCCAGUUUACAAGCCUCCAGUUGAAAAACCACCUGUUUAUAAGCCUCCAGUUUAUAAGCCACCCAUUUACAAGCCUCCAGUGUAUAAACCUCCAGUUGAAAAACCACCGGUUUACAAGCCUCCAGUUUAUAAACCACCUGUUUACAAGCCUCCAGUGUAUAAACCCCCAAUUGAAAAACCACCCGUUUAUAAGCCACCAGUUUACAAGCCACCAGUGUACAAGCCUCCAGUGUAUAAGCCACCAGUUUACAAGCCACCAGUGUACAAGCCACCAGUUGAGAAGCCACCAGUAUACAAACCACCCGUUUAUAAGCCACCAGUUUACAAGCCACCAGUGUACAAGCCACCAGUUGAGAAGCCACCAGUGUACAAGCCUCCAGUGUACAAGCCACCAGUAUACAAACCACCAGUUUAUAAGCCUCCAGUUGAGAAACCUCCUAUUUACAAGCCACCAGUUUACAAGCCUCCUAUAGAGAAGCCACCAGUGUACAAGCCACCAGUGUACAAACCACCAGUGUACAAACCACCGGUGUACAAGCCCCCUGUUAAGAAACCUCCUAUUUACAAACCACCUUACCCAAAGUACCCUCCAGGCUCCAACUGAAGACACCCACCUGAUUUUGAAUUAAGUUAAGGGAUGUAUUAAGUAUAUG